CCCUAUUCAGAGUGUCAUUUCCUCUCACCCAGGUGGCCCCUGUUCAUCUCCCAGGUGUGCCAGGUUGCCCUUGGCCCCCAGCCAGACAGUUGUUGGUAUUCACAGCCCCAGCAGCAACAGAGCUGUGGCGAAUUCUGAUCAGGGACCCCGCUUCUCACAACCACAGAAGCAAACCUUGCCUGGGCCCUGGAAUCUUGCCAACUUGGGCAAAUGUUUACGAAUCCUUCUCCAUGGAGCAGGAAUCCAGGCAAGGAAUCUGGCAAACAAAACAAACCAGUGAGCAUGAGGGAUGGGAGCAGACAGGGCAGCUGCCUUUGCUGCUUUUUCUUUCCUGAGACCUGCCCAUUUCCCCAAAAGUCUUCUGGGACCCUUAUCUGAGUUUUCUGCGCUCCCACUGCCUACUGCCCUUGGACCCAGCAUUUAGGGUGAGAUUUCUCUUGCACUAGUCUUCCUCAUCAUUACCGCCACCCUCAAGGACCCCCAUAGCAGAGUUCCGGACCACUGUCCCCAGGUCCAAGGUAGUAACCUUGCUAGGAAGGCAGUUGCAAGAUAGUUGGACUGCACGGAUCAAGUCUUUGCCUGAUGUCUUUGGUUUGAAGAGGCUAACCACAACCCUAAGACUGGACUGAUCUUGAGCCAGCAUUGUCCUUCCUUGCAUGACUAAGCCAUCUAUCAGAAUGUUUAUCACCAUUCUUUAUGGAGAUCAUGAAAAGAUCCUGUUUAAUUCUCACUGCAAAGUAGAGGUGCUGCUGAGCCAUAUCAAGCAGCGUUGUGGCUGUGAACCUGACGGAAUGGUUGAACUGGCAGACCACAGUGGUCAUUUGAAAAACCUUCUCCAAUACCCCCAACUCUAUGCUUCUGAGCUGCUGAAAUCUCGAGAAACUUAUAUUCCUAUCGCCAUAACACGAAAUGAAGGUUCACCAGAGCCAAUAUUUGUGCCACUAUUAAAGGAUCAUGAAAUUAUUGAUUCUAAGUUUUUAGCUACCCUGAACAUGGUAGGAGACUCCAUCUCCCCAGUGUCUGAGAAACAACCAAAAUCUGGGAAGACCAAGAGAAAAGCUUUGACUGCUGAGGGUCUGAGUCGAAAGGCAAACUGAGAUCCUUCCUGUAUGAGAUGAUCAGGCUUAAAGAAAUAGAGAUCCUUAAAGUGAACAAAAGCAAGAUUUGAUCUUUCUCACACUAUUCACAUCCAGAGAAAGAACUAUGGAAGCAGAAACCCAGAAGAAAAACAACUGCUUGAUCACAUGGGUCAAUGGGAAUGUAAUUGGGGAUGUAGACUAAAUGAUCACUCUAGUACAAUUAUCAAUCAUAUGGAAAUAGGUCUUGAUCAAUGACAGAUGUAAAACCCAGUGGAAUUGAGUGUUGGCUGGUGGGAGAGGGAUAGCAGGGGAGGGAAAAAACAUGAAUCAUGAAACCAUGGAAAAAUAUUCUAAAUCCAUUAAUUAAAUAAAAUUUUUCAAUUCUAAACA
This 1469-nucleotide long non-coding RNA is filed under the name Monodelphis domestica (gray short-tailed opossum). Its description in RNAcentral is "lncRNA (ENSMODG00000035914.2)". Lineage: Eukaryota; Metazoa; Chordata; Mammalia; Didelphimorphia; Didelphidae. The record is from RNAcentral.